AAAAGCAAAAUUUCCUCGCCUGGGCUGCCUUGCAUCUGUUUCAAUAUGUGACCACGCCCCUCCCCUGGACAGUCGGGGAUGAGUGCGCUAACAUACCUGUAGGUCGCUGUUUUAAUGAGUUUUUGAUGGAAAACAAUAAUGGCGUUUGUGCUCUCCGCUCACCUGAUAGGUGAGUCCUAGUAAAUAAUUUUCCACUACGCGUAUGUUACACAUGCUAUUUUUUUAAAAUUCUGAUUAUUAUUUUGCUGGCUAUCAAACUGGCUGGAGAAAUGAUUGUUCUACUAGUGAAUGUCAAAGGUGCUGCAAAAAAGCCACCAAAGGCAGGUUGCAGUGGAAACGCUGAGUGACACACCUGCUGUCAGACCUGCAGGUUUAUCCCUGUGCUGUUCUCAUCUGUUAUAGUAGAAAAGCUUAAAAAGGGACCUUGAAUCCUGCUCGAUUAUGGCAGAAAUGAUAAUCACGAUUAAAAUUCGAUUAAUGGAGCAGCCCUACUUGAAAGUGCUUAAAAAGUGCUUGAAUUUGACCCUGAAAAAAGCGUACGAACCCUGCACACCUGAAAGUAACUCUACAAGUGCAGUUACUGUGAGGAUGUAUUUAGUUUUUUAUCUUGUAAUUUUAACCUGAGUGUUUGGAACAAGUCUGAUCAGUAAACUUAUGGAGUUAUACUGAACGAACUGUUUGGAAAAAUGAAGACUCAUUUUCUCUCAGUAAGCUGAGUGUUGUAAUGUAAAGAGUAAAAUGUAAUUGGACGUUGGCAGAGAUGCUCUUUAUUUCAGGCAACAUUCAGGUUAAAAAUGUUGAAGGAAUUCCCUGACUCACACUGUCUUUGUUUAGAAGUGGAGCAAAGCACAUGGAUCCAUUUCUCAACCCUGUCGUCACUGUGGUGGUGGGAAAGAGUUUCUCUGUGACCUUUGUGAAAAACUUCAAUCAUCAACAGGACCUAAAAACACAUCAAUGUAGCCCAACCCGUUCUCACUCCCGACGCGUAAAAUACUGACGAUUUGUCACGUCCCUUAACUUCUCAUGCUGACGCUGAAGGUACCCUUCCACGUUUUUAUGCGACGCUGUGGGUUGUCAAUUCAUUCCAAUAUGAAGCCGCUCUCGGCGAUCAGAGACGCUUCGAGCAGAGGCUCCAGCCAUCUAUUUACUCCAAUAAUAACCCCGUCACGGCGAAACGUGACGCCUUGAAGUACAAUCUAACUGGAAAACCGGGGACCCUCUCCGCGAACGGGUUUUUCUCCCUAAUUUAAUGCUUUCUUUUAAUGAAAUCGUUAACAUUUCUCAACAAAAACACAUGAAAGUAACACUGAUAAUUCAACAAUAAAAUCGCUUCAUUUUCCAAAGUGAUUCACGAUCUGAAAGUGCGCAGAUUUAACGUACAUAAUCCUUGGUUGGGUUUAUUAUUUUUAUUUCACACGUAAAACUCAUUUAUAGUUUUAUUCACCACUCCUGUUAGUUUUGGAUGCGCUCGGCUCCAACCAAUCAGACCAAUUUACACUAACAGCGCACUAAUCCCGUAACUGCACACUACCCAUAAGCCUCAAGCACCGUUGCUAUGGAAAUGAAGAUAAUCAACAGCUUGGUGCUACCCGUUAUUCCUUUAUUUACUCUAAAAUAAUAACCAGCGAUAAUACGAAAAUAAACUGGCCCAGUGUUUAAUUAUGUAAUUACAAAUUGCAAAUUUUAUUUUUUUAUUUUAUUUUAUUUCAUUUUUUGCAAUAUUUAUCUACAGCGUGCCUUCAGCGACACGUCAACAGAUCUUAAGCAAGGCGAUUGGAUGGUUUUUACUGCAAUGCAUCUUGGGAGUCGUAGUAAAUGGAUCUUUCAACUCACGGUCCAGCGAAUUUUUCGACUCGACACGAGGCAGUUCUUAGCUAGAGCAGUCUGUGUACCAAGAGAACUACUUCUGCAAAGAAAUGACAAAGCCAAAAAACCAAACCAUGCCCUUCCUGUCAGGCUCCAAACACCUGCAACAGGAAGACAUGCAGUGGAUGCCUGGGCAGCCUGAACGUAAAGGAGGGAUUGAAAAAAAAAAAACAAGAACAGCAACUGGGCUGCCUCUGUUAAAAUAAAAUAAAAACAGAAAUGCGAGCAGGGUGGUUAAUUCAGCCCAGUUAUCAGUAAGGUUUCAAAACUACAUGCCCUGGGCUUCCAGCCAAUUCUGUUUCUUGGACAGUUUGACCGAAAGGGCCGUAUAGUAGGGGACGUGAUCACAUAGAGCCAGCAGAUGGUGCUGCAUGUGACAUCCUCAUGAAGAUGAGGAAACUUUAUGAACACCUUCUGAGAAAAUUACAAGCUUCACCUCCUGCUAAAAGUUCUACACCAGCAGCUGGACCAUCCUCUGCUGACAGUGUCGAUGCUGGACCAAUUUAUUCUUCAUUUAGAGCCUGAACCAACAUCUUCCCUCUGUCAGCCUCCUGCAUCCUCCUCUUCAUCUCCGCUUCCUGCAUUUCCCUCAAUUUCUACGGCGUACACCUCGGAUGUCCCAAACAAAAAAAGGACAAGGAAAGAAUGCCAAAAACACCGUACACAGAAGAUUUUCAAAUAUGAAGAGAUAGUAGACAGGAGAGUUGUAAAUGAAAAAGAAGAAGUUAAAGUCAAGUGGAAGCCCUGCUUAACAUGGUAUGUAGUAACAACGGGAACAGACAUUCAUAUUGUUGAUAAAUAGUUAUCACCUCAAUUUGAAUUCAUGUAUUUGGACUAAAGUAAAUUGAGAGCUUUUAGCAAUCAAGCUGCUCUUCUGUGAGGAGCUUGAUAGCUGUCCACCUCCAAAGUCCAUUAUGAGAUUUGGAGGUGGACAUGGUCAACACUUUUAAGAGUAGGCAUAAGACUUUACUUCUUUAUAGAGCUUAUAGUUAGGGCUGGUUCAGGUCAGCCCUUAGUUAUGCUGUCAUAGGACCAGACUGCUGGGGGUUAGUCCCCCCUCCCCCUCUCUCUCUCUCUCUCUCUCUCUCCUCUGUCUGUCUGUCUCUUUCAGGGUUAUGCAGGCUCAGUAUUGGUUGAAGAUGCAGUCACGUCUCCUUUUACUGAAAACUUUCCCCUCUCCCUCACCAUCUGUAAACGUACUUGUCUCAGUAAUGCAGUUCAUGCAUGUUACUAACUAAACUUCUUCCCUGGAGUUUCUGUGCUCUCUCAUCCAGCAGGUUCCGAUGGCUCGUGGCUGCUGCUGUGGUCCUGCUUGACAUCUACUCCAUAUAUUAUUACUCUCUGACUUGAUUUGAUUAGUUUAUAUUACAAUGAAGGUGUAUAAAGCAUGACAUGAAUAUAGAAAAUAUUUCAUCCUAAAAAAUUGUCAUAUGUCACAACCUAAAUUAUCCUAUUUUGUGUGUGGUGGUUGUCGUUGUUGUUUGUUAUGUUUUUCUCCUGACAGUGGCAAAGUGUGGGAUGACACAUGAGAAUCUGCGCAGUUUUACACACAGUAAACCAGAUCCCUGUGUACGAUCGCACAGUUCAGUUUGUAGUUCAGCAUAAAAGUUCAAAAUAAAAUAUUUACUAUACAUUUCA
Long non-coding RNA from Oreochromis niloticus (Nile tilapia), 3504 nucleotides. RefSeq lists it as uncharacterized. The transcript is spliced from 7 exons. Lineage: Eukaryota; Metazoa; Chordata; Actinopteri; Cichliformes; Cichlidae. The record is from RefSeq and is a predicted model, not a curated record.